RNAcentral lists this ribosomal RNA (497 nucleotides) under uncultured bacterium. RNAcentral's name for it is "partial 16S ribosomal RNA". It matches the Rfam family "Bacterial small subunit ribosomal RNA", at positions 28 to 507 of the family's 1533-position model. The record is from RNAcentral.
GAUGAACGCUGGCGGCGUGCCUAAUACAUGCAAGUCGAGCGAACAGACGAGGAGCUUGCUCCUCUGACGUUAGCGGCGGACGGGUGAGUAACACGUGGAUAACCUACCUAUAAGACUGGGAUAACUUCGGGAAACCGGAGCUAAUACCGGAUAAUAUAUUGAACCGCAUGGUUCAAUAGUGAAAGAUGGUUUUGCUGUCACUUAUCGAUGGAUCCGCGCCGCAUUAGCUAGUUGGUAAGGUAACGGCUUACCAAGGCAACGAUGCGUAGCCGACCUGAGAGGGGGGUCGGCCACACGGGAGCUGAGACGGGGACCAGGCUCCUACGAGAGGCAGCAGUAGGCAACGUGCGGCAGUGGUGGGGAACCUUGCGGAACGGGGCCGCGUGUGAGAUGAAGGUCUUCGGAGCGUAAUACUCUGUUAUGAGUGAUAAACCAAUGUGUAAGGAAAUGUAGCGAUCUUGACGGUACCUGAACAGGAAGCCACGGCUAACUACGUG